AUUGAACGCUGGCGGCAGGCCUAACACGUGCAAGUCGAACGGUAACAGGAAGCAGCUUGCUGCUUCGCUGACGAGUGGCGGACGGGUGAGUAAUGUCUGGGAAACUGCCUGAUGGAGGGGGAUAACUACUGGAAACGGUAGCUAAUACCGCAUAAUGUCGCAAGACCAAAGAGGGGGACCUUCGGGCCUCUUGCCAUCGGAUGUGCCCAGAUGGGAUUAGCUUGUUGGUGGGGUAACGGCUCACCAAGGCGACGAUCCCUAGCUGGUCUGAGAGGAUGACCAGCCACACUGGAACUGAGACACGGUCCAGACUCCUACGGGAGGCAGCAGUGGGGAAUAUUGCACAAUGGGCGCAAGCCUGAUGCAGCCAUGCCGCGUGUAUGAAGAAGGCCUUCGGGUUGUAAAGUACUUUCAGCGGGGAGGAAGGGAGUAAAGUUAAUACCUUUGCUCAUUGACGUUACCCGCAGAAGAAGCACCGGCUAACUCCGUGCCAGCAGCCGCCGUAA
RNAcentral lists this ribosomal RNA (506 nucleotides) under uncultured bacterium. Its description in RNAcentral is "partial 16S ribosomal RNA". It matches the Rfam family "Bacterial small subunit ribosomal RNA", at positions 30 to 523 of the family's 1533-position model. The record is from RNAcentral.